RNAcentral lists this ribosomal RNA (483 nucleotides) under Enterococcus faecalis. Its description in RNAcentral is "bacterial SSU rRNA". It matches the Rfam family "Bacterial small subunit ribosomal RNA", at positions 48 to 502 of the family's 1533-position model. Lineage: Bacteria; Bacillati; Bacillota; Bacilli; Lactobacillales; Enterococcaceae. The record is from RNAcentral.
CUAAUACAUGCAAGUCGAACGCUUCUUUCCUCCCGAGUGCUUGCACUCAAUUGGAAAGAGGAGUGGCGGACGGGUGAGUAACACGUGGGUAACCUACCCAUCAGAGGGGGAUAACACUUGGAAACAGGUGCUAAUACCGCAUAACAGUUUAUGCCGCAUGGCAUAAGAGUGAAAGGCGCUUUCGGGUGUCGCUGAUGGAUGGACCCGCGGUGCAUUAGCUAGUUGGUGAGGUAACGGCUCACCAAGGCCACGAUGCAUAGCCGACCUGAGAGGGUGAUCGGCCACACUGGGACUGAGACACGGCCCAGACUCCUACGGGAGGCAGCAGUAGGGAAUCUUCGGCAAUGGACGAAAGUCUGACCGAGCAACGCCGCGUGAGUGAAGAAGGUUUUCGGAUCGUAAAACUCUGUUGUUAGAGAAGAACAAGGACGUUAGUAACUGAACGUCCCCUGACGGUAUCUAACCAGAAAGCCACGGCUAACU